This 1094-nucleotide long non-coding RNA is filed under the name Equus caballus (horse). RNAcentral describes it as "lncRNA (ENSECAG00000046088.1)". The record is from RNAcentral. Lineage: Eukaryota; Metazoa; Chordata; Mammalia; Perissodactyla; Equidae.
GGAAGCUGCAGAGCAGUUCCAAAGAACCAGCUCGGGACAGUAAAUGACUCCCACAGUCAAACUGAGCAUGCUCACCUCUCUGGUUGCCACACAUCGAUGUGCAGGCUGGUCCCUGGAUCCCCAACAGUUACGGCAGACUGUGAUAUGCAGAGGGAAGCAACACUUCUAGGGAAGAAUGUGGUCCAGACCACGUGGAGGUGGAAAUCACCAAGGCCUUGACUCCUCCUUCCCACUCAUUCUUCCAUGUCCUCACCUGUGAACUGGGAGAAUUCGGAACUGAAGUAAGUAAAGAUGGUGGAGUUCUUGAAGACAGCGGAAUCACUGGCCAGGAGGAACUCACUUCAGCGAUGGAGAGGACACUGAUGGAAACGGCACCCGGGCUCAGCGGCAGGCAGGAGAUGGCGAGGCAGCCAGUCAAACAUCUCUAGAAAGCCUGCCAUGUAAGGUUCUGUGCUGGGCACCACUACAAACAAUGGUGUCUCACACUCAGACUCUGCUCUGGGAGAGGAGCCAAGGAGACAGAGAACUCCAGAAAAAGGUGGAGAAGUAAUCACAGAAUGCCUGAGCUGGAGUCUUUCCUCAAGAUGCUAGAUACUUGGCUUCCAUUGUUUUCUGACACUUGUUACAGCAGAGACGUCAGAGACCACGCUGAUUCAUUCUUUUUACGCAAUCUCUCUUUUCACUCUUUAGACAUAGCUCAGAAAUACCCUCAGAAUACUUCUCAACAUACAGCAUAGUCAACUCACUCCAAUCAAUUGGUGCUGACCCAACAAAUGAAACCUGCCCGCCAUGUCUGGCUCGAGACAGUAAAAGCAAGAGUGUGGCCAAGAGUCACAUGCAUAAGAAUUCAUUACAACAAUACAUCAGCUCGAUUUAAUAAGACAUGCUUGAAUUACUGCUGACAAUUAUGAAAGAAUACAAAGAGUAUCUGGUGAGAAUAAUCAAAUGUUGAAUGUGUUGCCUUUGAUCAUUUGUUUGUUUUACUUUACAGCCUAAGUAAAGCUGAUUAAAAUCUACAAGUUGAUUAAAACAGUCUAUUUGUUUUAAAACUUGUUUAAAUAAUCUACUUGUUUUAAAAAAUAAAACAAGUCAAU